CUCACCUGCAGCAGGCACUCGGCACAACUCCGCAGGACCGGCUCACCUGCACCGGGCACUCAGCACAGCCUCCAGCAUGCAGCGCCUCCCCGCUGCCACCCGGGCCACCCUGAUCCUCAGCCUGGCCUUUGCCUCCCUCCACUCAGCUUGCUCGGCAGAAGCGAGCAGCAGCAACAGCUCAACCUUGACCAGUCACCACCCAGACCCUGGGACCCUGGAGCAGUGCCUCAGUAAGCUUCUCCUGCCAACUGCUCUAACCCCAGAACUGGCCCUCGGCCUGGGAGGGAAACAAAGGCCUCCCCACUUUCCGUUGAUUGGUGUCAGGUGGCCAAGGGCCUGCCUGGCCUUCCUGUGCACCAGUGUGGUUUGUCCCAGAACUAUUUGCAGAGCAGGUCUGAAAGGCUUUCUUGGCUCUGAUCCCCAUCUAGGUGCACAAUCUUUGACAGAUUGCUUUAAUGACCCAUCCCAGGUGAGCAGCUAACAAUGCCCUAGGUUCAAAUCCUUGAAGAAGUUUGGAGGUGGACAGCCCAUAAGAAAUCAUCUAGUCCAACUUCCUCCCAAUGCAAGAGCUUGGUUUUGGUAUCCUUGGCAUACAUAUUUCUUCUUCUUCUAUGCAUGUUCUUCCUCUUCUUGCAUACUUC
Molecule: small RNA, 641 nt
Filed under: Pongo abelii (Sumatran orangutan)
Lineage: Eukaryota; Metazoa; Chordata; Mammalia; Primates; Hominidae
Description: retained intron
Source: RNAcentral